UGACAGAAGACAUCUUACAUCGGCCGUUUUGUGAGCAUCUCUGUAAGUUCAUUUACAUUAAUGUAUAUUUAACAAACGUGUUUUUCUGGAAAUAAAUGAAUUAAAAAAUAAAUGAAUUAGUUUGGCAAAUUCUCCGCUGAUUCAUUAUAGCUAUAAUGCUAUUUAAAUCAAUGUGAUAAAUGAGUCAAAUCAAAAGUAAUCUGAUUAUAUUACCUACAAUGUGUAAUGUAAGGGAUUGCGUUACUGACUACAAUUUUUGUCAUGUAAUCUAGAAUCAGUAACGGAUUACAAUUUGUAAGUAAUCUACCCAGCUCUGCCCAUCGCUACACAGAACCACUGGCUCUUAAAACCCCUUUUACUAUAAUCAAUACAACUAAUAAUACAACAUCCAUUUACACAAGAAACAAAAAACAAAAAAAACAACUAACACAGAAGUCAAGGGUCAGGUGGCCGGGAAGUGCAAAACAACAUUACAAACAACAAGAUUGUUCUACGGAGAUUUGGGCCGCCACGGAAGAGGUCCCGCCUACAAAAAUAUUUCAAAGAAAUUUGAGAGGUGUAGUCAGUUAGACACACAGAAUUACACCAAUGACAACAAAACGCAAGGCAUUAUGGAGAAAAGCCAGUGGGACCUGAAACCUGUGCGCUUUCAAAGACGCCGCCACACACAGCUGGAUGAUUUUGUCCAUAUUUAUCAAAUAUCCCAUAAUGCCCUGCUGAGAGAGUUUUCAGACUCUACCCGCAAGAAAAAAACACACCGGGUAGAAGUUGAGCGCUGGAAACAAAGAAGGCGGUCCAAGAAAGGCAUUUAUGUAUCACCACUACUAAAAGUCUUCCCCUUCAAGAAAGCCACAAAGCACAAGGUGCUGACCAAAAAAAACUGGACCACAGGCAGCAAAACAAGAAGAAAAUGUUUGCAGGCAAAACCUGACUGCAGUGGAAGGAUGUGACACAUCCUUGAUGGAAAAAAAUAUACAUACAGACACCCAGUCUGAUGAAAAUAAAGGUGAAAAGGCCAUAGUGCUGACCCCGAUAGCUGAACUUCUAACAGCAACCCCAGAGAAAAGUCUGGAAGAAGAACACUUGACUGACGUGGAAGCAUGUGCCACAUCACUGACGGAAACAACAGAAGAUAUACUGAUCCAAUCUGCUGACACUAAAGCCAAAAAGGAUGUUGGCCCUUUGCAAAAUCAACAUCACCUGGAAAUGCUAAGAGACAGGAACCUUGGUCCAUGCUGGCAUGGGAAGAACCCCACAUGGGAAGAACUGCCUCCAUGUAGACUCUCUAGAACACAGCAAGCCCCCAAAGGCAGUGCCAUUACUUCGAUUCUGCACCCCCAACAUUGGCUCAGCAGUGAUGAGAUCGAUUUUGCGUCUCACCUUCUUGCAAGGGAGUACAAUGACAUCGAUGGGUUUCAGUCAUCUCUUUUAUUUAGUGUUAUAGAAAGGGGAGGGAUUGUGGGUACUCCAACAAGGCAAUUUGUUCAAAUUUUGCACACAGGGGGAAACCACUGGGUGACAGCAAGUCAAGUCAAGUCACCUUUUGUUGCAAUUUCUAACAAUAAUAGUAUUAUGUAGUUAGGUAUUUUAUUAUAUUUGUAGUUAUAUGUUAUAUUUUAAUUUUAUUGUAUUUUAAUCGAGGUCUUCACUGGGGAUAUAUCUCUGGGGGUCAUCUGGGUGUCCUGGUCUCCGCCGUCGUUCAGGGCUGUAGACAUCAUCUCUUGGUGCUGAUCCACCAUCUGAUCGGAUACGGACUGAGAAACAGAAGUGGAAAGAAAUAGACAAAUAUUAGCGUAGAUGCCAUUCUACUUACGAUGUAAUGAGUACAUCGUGUGUUACGGGGAGUGUUCCCGGUUCCGGUUGAUCUAACUAAUGCAGCCUAACAAUCCUUUAACGGAUUUGAAUAAUAGAAGCGUAUUAGUGUGUUACGUGUAAGCCAGGCUAAAGAGAUGGGUCUUUAAUCUAGAUUUAAACUGACAGAGUGUGUCUGCCUCCCGAACAGUGUUAGAUAGAUUGUUCCAGAGUUUGGGUGCUAAAUAGGAAAAGGAUCUGCCGCCCGCAGUCGAUUUUGAUAUUCUAGGUAUUAUCAAACGGCCAGAGUUUUGAGAACGCAGUGGACGUGGAGGACUAUAAUGUGAUAAGAGCUCGCUCAAGUACUGAGGAGCUAAACCAUUCAGGGCUUUAUAAGUAAUUAACAAGAUUUUAAAAUCUAUCCGAUGCUUGAUAGGGAGCCAGUGCAGUGUUGACAGAACCGGGCUAAUAUGCUCAUAUUUCCUGGUUCUAGUAAGGACUCUAGCUGCUGCAUUUUGGACCAAUUGUAGUUUGUUGAUCAAGCGUACAGAACAACCACCCAAUAAAGCAUUACAAUAGUCUAACCUUGAGGUCAUAAACGCAUGAAUUAGUAUUUCUGCAUUUGACGUUGAGAGCAUAGAUCGCAAUUUAGAUAUGUUUUUGAGAUGAAAAAACGCAGUUUUACAGAUGCUAGAAACAUGGCUUUCAAAUGACAGAUUGCUAUCAAACAGCACACCUAGGUUCCUGACUGAUGAAGAAGAAUUAACAGAGCAUCCAUCAAGUGUUAGAUAAUGUUCUAGGUUAUUACAUGUGGGCUUUUUAGGUCCGAUAAUUAACACCUCUGUUUUUUCAGAAUUUAGCAGUAAAAAAUUACUUGUCAUCCAAUUUUUUAUAUCGACUAUGCAUUCCGUUAGUUUCUCAAUUUGGUGUGUUUCACCGGGCCGCGAAGAAAUAUAGAGCUGAGUAUCAUCAGCAUAACAGUGAAAGCUAACACCAUGUCUCCUGAUAAUAUCUCCCAAGGGUAACAUAUAAAGUGUGAAAAGUAACGGCUUUAGUACUGAGCCCUGAGAUACUCCGUACUGCACUUGUGAUCGAUAUGAUACCUCUUCAUUCACUGCUACGAACUGAUGGCGGUCAGAUAACUACGAUUUGAACCACGCUAAGGCACUUCCACUAAUGCCAACAAAGUUUUCUAGUCUAUUCAAAAGAAUGUUGUGAUCGAUAGUGUCGAACGCAGCGCUAA
This is a long non-coding RNA of Onychostoma macrolepis, 3034 nucleotides long. RefSeq lists it as uncharacterized. The transcript is spliced from 9 exons. Lineage: Eukaryota; Metazoa; Chordata; Actinopteri; Cypriniformes; Cyprinidae. The record is from RefSeq and is a predicted model, not a curated record.